RNAcentral lists this ribosomal RNA (779 nucleotides) under uncultured Neocallimastigales. RNAcentral's name for it is "partial large subunit ribosomal RNA". The stretch from base 6 to 669 matches the Rfam family "Eukaryotic large subunit ribosomal RNA", at positions 24 to 664 of the family's 3401-position model. Lineage: Eukaryota; Fungi; Neocallimastigomycota; Neocallimastigomycetes; Neocallimastigales. The record is from RNAcentral.
GUAUCUCUGUAGAGUCUGCAUAUCAAUAAGCGGAGGAAAAGAAACUAACUAGGAUUCCCUCAGCAACGGCGAGUGAAGCGGGAAGAGCUCAAAUUUGAAAUCUUCAAGGUUUUACCUUGACGAAGUUGUAGUUUAAAGAAGUGUUUUCUGUUGGUGUUUUGGUAAAAGUUCUUUGGAAUAGGGACAUCAUAGAGGGUGAGAAUCCCGUAUAUUGACCUAUGAUUUGUCCACUUUAUGAUACACUUUCAAAGAGUCGGAUUGUUUGGGAAUGCAGUCCCAAAAUGGGUGGUAAAUUUCAUCUAAGGCUAAAUAUUGGCGAGAGACCGAUAGCGAACAAGUACCGUGAGGGAAAGAUGAAAAGAACUUUGAAAAGAGAGUUAAAUAGUACGUGAAAUUGUCAAAAGGGAAGCGUUUGACACCAGUGUUGUUUUCUGAAAAUCAACCUUUGUUAACUUUAUGUAUGUUUGUUUAGACUUUAUCAGCUAACUUUCAUAUUCUAUUGUUUGCAAUGGUGCACUUUUCAGUUUACAGGUCAACAUCAAUUUCUUUUGUUGUAAAAAAAAUUAGAGGAAGGUAGCUUAUUACUUCGGUAUUAAGUGUUAUAGCCUCUAAUCUAUGCAAUCGAAGGGAUUGAGGACUGCAGUGUAGGCUAUUUGGCUAGAUACUCAGGUGCUAUGUGGUAGCAUUAUGUAGACAACUUGUUGACUGCAUAUUGUCUAUUGCAUACUCGCUUGUACUAUCUUACCUACGCUUAGGAUGUUGACGAUCAGCUGAGCGCG